GCCUGGGGCCCCGUGACGCUUGGUAUCGUGCACGUACACCUGCCCCCCACGUCCCCAGCUCCCUUCUCCACAAGCUGCAGGACAGACAAGACCAAGGGCGAGCAGGGCACAGCACCCAGCGCUUUUAAACUAACCGUCCAGGGAAGGACGUCGAGAGACAGGGCAAGGAGCGUCGCGGGGCAGACGGAGCCGGACGAACCCGAUGCGUCUCCCGAGAGCCAGCGCUCCGGGCAGAAGAAAGGACCUGGGCACGAAGCGCUGCCGAAAUCUGUGACCCCACGCGGCGGGACGGCAGCCCAGACCGGGGCGACCUUGAGGGCCACGGCCGCAGAAACGGGAGCACCCAGCAGCAAUAAGUGCAACGGGCUGGGAGCUCGCCGGCUGGAAACCACCGAGGAGGAGGAGGAGGGUCUGGUGCGCCGGACACUCGCGGCAGAGCCGAGCGCUAGGGUGGGCAAGCCGUGCUGCACGGCCACGCGUCUCCUUUACGGCUGGGCAGUGGCGGUGCCGCUGCACGAGGCCCUGGCAAGAUCCUGCCUGGAUGCUGCAGAUGAUUCGCUCCAGCUGUGCCCAGGAAAGGCACGUUCAGCUCAGGGAAAAGGCAACGAUGGAUGGCAGAGCGGAGGCGGGGAGCCCUGUGCCGCACACGGGAAGAACUGGGGCAGCCCAGGGAUGCUGCUGGCACCAGAACUCGUGGGGCUCUGGCCACGAACAGGCUCCGGCUGGAAAGCAGGACAAGGGGUCUCCCCUUCGUGGCAGCCAGGCAGGAGCGGGGGGCAGGAGGGGAGCAAAGCUCAGCCACACUUAAAAAAACCCCUUGAGCAGGUCAGCAGCAGCCCUCCCGCCCCAGCUCGGCCCAGGGAACGUGCUCACAGACGGAGACGGCGGGGUAUUAGGGGAGACCUCGCCGAUGCCCUCGCUGGACGGGGGUCUUCAUGCACUAGGCAGACCCUGCGGCCAGGAUGCUCAGGACCAGGGAGGCCGGGCUCAGAGCCUCCUCGCCGUGGCUCAGGCUGCACCAGAGCUGCCCAUCCUCGCACGCCAGAGCUGGAUCUGGGUCAGCAGCCAGAGGACACAGCCUCGCUCCCAGCUCCUCCCUGCGCUCUCCGGACACGGACAGCCUGCCGCGGACGGCACCCCAGGCGCAGCCGCUUCACCCUGGCCAGGACAGCGGUAGGCUGGACUGCCGGGGAGCUCGGGUGCUGGUGCUCACACAGGUGCGGGGCUUUGCCAGGGAGCUUGGCAUUGGUGCUCAUGCAGAUGCACGGCUUUGCCAUGCAUCCCCCUCCCCAGGAGAAGUGCAGCCUGGGGUACGAAGCACUGGCACAGGGGCUCUAGCCCGCAACCUUGCCCCAAGGCAAGGGGAGGCACGUGCGCCCCGGAAGGGCUGAGGACGCACCGGACCCCGUCCGCCAGUGCGGGCAAGGGCGAGGGGACCCGCGCGGGUGGAGAGAGCAGCAAGGGAAGGGCUCCCUGGCGCAAGGGGCAGCUCAGCCCAGCUGCCUCCUUGUCCGUGCCGCUGCCUCCCACCGCCCUGCGGGGAGAUCGUUCNNNNNNNNNNNNNNNNNNNNNNNNNNNNNNNNNNNNNNNNNNNNNNNNNNNNNNNNNNNNNNNNNNNNNNNNNNNNNNNNNNNNNNNNNNNNNNNNNNNNAGCCAGGGCAGCAGCAUGCCUGGCCCCGGGGGGCUCUGCCCGCCCCUACCUGGCAGGUGCAGCCGGGCCGGGCUGGCAGCAGGGAGCACGCGCGGAGCAGCCGGAGCCGGUGGCAUCACCCCACAGCCGGGCGCACGGAGCCACCCAGCCCCGCUCUUAAAGGGACCCGGAUUGGGAUCGGGGCCGGGCUGCAGCGCAGGAGGGGCUGGUGACAGCUCCCUGCAGAGCUGCCCCGGGCAUCGCUCACCUGGGCAGGGGGCUGCCGCGCCCGUCUCUUCUGCACACGCGGCUUUGGGCAGGGAUGCCUGCUUUAGCAAAGCCCUGCCCGGUCCCUGCAGGGCUGCAGCACCUCGCACCCCGGGUGCACUGAUCUUUGCAGCCCCCUGCUCUGGGGGCGGCAUCGCAGAAGGGCGUGGCAGCUGCUCUGUCCCACCAGAGUUUGGGGGUGCUGCUGGGAACUGGAGAGGGGCGUCCCGAAUCCGCGGACCAGCCGUCCUAUGCCUGCUUGCAAACCGCCACCGUGCUUGAACACACGCCCCUCUGGAGCAGAGAGGUGCUUCCCACCCAGCCCAGCCCCAAAUGGAGCACGGGCCCAGGCGAAGCAGAAGCAGGGAAACACGCGUGUGGAAACGUGCCUGCAGCGCGCCACCGCCUCUGGCAAACCCUCCUCGGCCUGAUGCGGCAACCUGUUAUUAAAGAGGUGCGAGUUUAGUGACAGAUCGUUUUAAUUUUGCAUCCGUGCCGCACUCCCUGCCUUGCCGGGGCUCGGCGGAGAUGCUCCGAGCGCUGGCGGCGACACCGAACUCCCGACAGAACGACAUUUUCCUGGAGAGAAAUGAAUGCUUCCCACGGGGGCUUUGCCCAACUGGCAAUAAAGCCUCUCCGAUUUCAGGGGAAAGAGCCGUU
Crocodylus porosus (Australian saltwater crocodile) is the source of this 2557-nucleotide long non-coding RNA. The record is from Ensembl. NCBI's taxonomy places the organism in Eukaryota, Metazoa, Chordata, Crocodylia, Crocodylidae.